GGACAGGUCUGCUCGUCUGCUUCUGGUGCGCAGUGCCCACGGCAGUGCCCACGGGGCUGCAGAUGGGUGUGUUGUGUCCCCUUCUGGUACCAUGCUCCCGCAGGGGUUUCAGGGUCUAUGCGCAGUUGUCUGGGGCUUCUGAAGCUCAGUGUCCUGUCUCAUGGAGGGUCAGCCUGAUGAUUCUGCCCCUGGUCCCACAGAGCUUGCCCGGGAGCCUCUCCUGUGUGCACAGAGCACGGCCUUGGAGUUGGAGACAGAGGUGCCGGCUGGAGACUUGGGUUUGGAAACCGCACACAGGGCUCAGCUUGUGCUUCUUCCAGUGGAGCUCAAGGAAGAAAUUGAUCUCUUAAAAGUAGAAAAUAGAAAUUUGCAGGAGAAGUUGCAGCGUGAAAUCUGCCUGAAAGAGGACUUGGAGAAAGUGAAACAGAAUUUAGUUGAAGCUCACCAGGAAGAACUGAAGAGUGCUGAAGAGAGGAUUGAGCAAAUGAAACAGGAACUCAGGGAGAGAGAGGCUGAGUGGAAAGUUACAAGUGAGGACCUGCGGAGAGGGGCUGAAGAGAGGCUGACGAAGAUGCUCCUUGACCUGCGAGAACAGGUGGAGUCUGAGAAGCGGUCCAUGAUGAACAGGUUUGAGCUUCGAGAAUCCGAAAUGAGGCAACUUCAAGACCAGCAGGCAGCUCAGAUCCUGGACCUGGAGGGGUCACUAGUGGAACAACAGGGCCGCCUUCGGCAGCUGGAGCUCGGACUCCCUGGAGAUGAGUCUCUGCGGUGCAGCCAGUGUGGCCGGGAGCUGGGCUGCGGCCCAGCCCCAGGGGCCCAGGACCAGGAGCUCGCCAUGCUCCACCUAAAGGAGGACUGCGCCCUCCAGCUGAAGGUGGCCCAGAGCAGGUUUUUGGAGGAACGUAGAGCAAUCACAGAGAAACUGGCCGCAGAGCAAGAUGCCUUCCUGCAGGAGGCCCAGAAGCAGCAUGCGCACGAGCUGCAGCUCCUCCAGGAGGGGCACCAGCGGCAUAUCCUGUCCCUGACCACGGAGCUGGAGACCAGGCGCCAGGCCGAGGUGGAUGCGCUGAGGUCUUCGUUCGAGCGUGAGCGGUGGGCCCUGGCAGAGGCGCGUGAGGCUGAGUCGCAGGUGAAACACGCUGCUGAAGUCAGUGUGUUGGAGGCCAGACACGCGUCACACCUGGAUGCUCUGCGCUUGCAGUACCUGUCUGAGUUGCAGGCCGUGCAGGGCAGGCAUCGGCGGGCCCUGGAGCUGCUGCGGCUGGACCUGGAGGAGCGGCUGCAGAAGGAGGAUGUGGCUCACCACGGGGUCUUGACCCAGGUGCUGGAGCUGCUGGAGCUGCGAUGUGCCGAAGAGCCUCAGUCCGCAGAGGACAGCCUGAGAGGGGAUGGGAGCGUGGAGCCCCCAGAGGGUGUGAGAGCCCUCUGGCUGCACGGGGCUCGCAAGCAGGAACCCGAGGCCCAGUGCUCAGCUCCCCAGGCGGGGCGGGAGGAGGAGCUGGAGCUGCUGGAGUGUAAGCCAGAAGCCUCCCUGGAGCAGCAGGUCACACCGUUACAGGGUGAAUUUGGAAGUGAAAGAAAAGCUGCUUUACAUGAAAAAGAGGAGAUACCUAAACUUGAACAUGAGAAGGCACGUUCUCUUUAUGAAAAAGAGAAAGAAUCUUUGUCUCUGCAGCUACAGGAGAAGAAUAAUCAAAUUCUGCAGCUGAAAGACCAGAUUUUAUCCUUAAAUCGAGAGAUAGAGGAGUGCCAUUCCGAACUGGAGAAACUUCAGCAGAGGCGGGAACGGGAGAACCAGGAGGGCACCGCUCUCAUAGCGAUGCUCAAGUCCGACGUCGACCUGUCCCACGGCGAGAGGUCAGUGGCCACCCCUGCCUCGUGGCUGGGGUGCAUGUUGGCAUCUGGCAGAUGGGACCCUGUGCCUCGUGAUUCUCCAUCUAGGGAGGUCUUAAACCACAAGAUGGGCGCUGAGUUGUCACCUGCAUAA
RNAcentral lists this long non-coding RNA (1987 nucleotides) under Capra hircus (goat). RNAcentral describes it as "lncRNA (ENSCHIG00000006832.1)". Lineage: Eukaryota; Metazoa; Chordata; Mammalia; Artiodactyla; Bovidae. The record is from RNAcentral.